AGAAGAAGAACGUUCCAUCAGAGCUUCCAUCUGUCUGCUGCUCGGUGUGUGGGAUGUCGGAGGCCACCUGAACGCAGCACGGACUCACCUGCCUCCCCAGGUGAGCUGAAUGAGUGUGACGAGCUGCUGGAGGUGCAGCUGUGAUAUAAAAGCAGAGCAGCUGCAGCUCCAGCUCACAGCUUCUGUCUGCAGCAGCCUCCUCACUGCUGAUCAACCUGCUGGAGCUGAACUCUGUGGCCUCGGCUUCUUCUCACAGCUGGACAUGCUGCUGGAAUCUGUUCUCAGGUGAGCUGCUGCGCUUCAUGCUGCAGGUCAAACAGGUUCUGGAGGAGCUGGUGGAGGAACUGGAGGAGCUGGUGGAGGAGCUGGUGCUGGUGGUUCUGGGGGAUCUGGUGGUUCUGGAGGAUCUGGUGGUUCAGGAGGCUCUGGUUUCUUCAGCAGUUCUUUGCCCUUUGGAUCUGCAGGAUUUACUCCUUUGAUUAACUACCCACAGGGGUUCUCCUACGAUAUAAAUGACUUGAGACCAAGGUUUGUCCGUCUCCCAGACCCCUCAGUCUGGAUCCCUGAUAACAUUCCCACCGACCCCUUCCCAUUGGUUGUUCGUGGUCCUACGUCCUACAUCGUCCAGUCUAGUAACGGCUACCAGCGAGCCAGAGAACUCCUCUCCCACUCUAAAUACUCCCCAGAUGACUUUGGCCCGUUUUUCUCUCCGGUGAACCCAGGAGAUCCCAGCCAAGGACCUGGACCUGGAACCGGAACCAAGGUCUAAGGAGGUGGAACUGAUCAGCAGAACCUCCAAGAAACUACGACGUAACCUUUAAUAAACCUUAAGUAAACAUGAAUCUGAGUAUCUGUGCUUGACUUUAACGCCAUUGAUUUAAACUGGUUUAGUUUGACUUUAAACAGCUGGUUUUCUUAAACUAUCAAGCAGCCGUUCCAAUAAUUCUGGCUGCUGUAGUUUAAAGUCUCUCAGGUGUUUCUCCUGCAUCUUAUCAGCUCAGAGGUAAGAAAAUGGAGGAUGACCUGGAACAAAUGACACCGUGUCUGGGACCAAAUGCAGCUAUAGUGAAGAACCUGACAGUAAAGUGACUCUAAAGCGUCUUGUGUAGAUGAGUAGUUCUACUGAAUUUGUUCUGACCAUUAAACCCUAGACCUCUCCUUCCUUGGUUGGAGUUCUGUUCUCAGCUGAUCUAGUAAACUGGAAUUGUGACCAAAGUAAACCAUGAAUCUGAGUUUGUCUGACUUGAACUUUACUGAAGGUUUAAAUGAGUUUUAACUCUUUAAACGGUUGGUUUUCUUCAAUUCUCCUGAAGUUAUCUUUAACUGGCUGCUCCUGUAGUUUAACAUUGCCAUGAAGGUAUUUGAGCUACAAAUCAGGAGAACAAGGGUGAAAACUCUGCUUUUCUGGGACCAAAUAAAGCAGUUCGCUUAAAAGUGAUGUUUUUCUGUGUAGAUUAAUGGACUAAAGUGGUUUUUCC
This is a long non-coding RNA of Amphiprion ocellaris (clown anemonefish), 1478 nucleotides long. The record is from Ensembl. NCBI's taxonomy places the organism in Eukaryota, Metazoa, Chordata, Actinopteri, Pomacentridae.